GAUGAACGCUGGCGGCGUGCCUAAUACAUGCAAGUCGAGCGAACAGACGAGGAGCUUGCUCCUUUGACGUUAGCGGCGGACGGGUGAGUAACACGUGGGUAACCUACCUAUAAGACUGGGAUAACUUCGGGAAACCGGAGCUAAUACCGGAUAAUAUUUCGAACCGCAUGGUUCGAUAGUGAAAGAUGGCUUUGCUAUCACUUAUAGAAGGACCUGCGCCGUAUUAGCUAGUUGGUAAGGUAACGGCUUACCAAGGCAACGAUACGUAGCCGACCUGAGAGGGUGAUCGGCCACACUGGAACUGAGACACGGUCCAGACUCCUACGGGAGGCAGCAGUAGGGAAUCUUCCGCAAUGGGCGAAAGCCUGACGGAGCAACGCCGCGUGAGUGAUGAAGGUCUUCGGAUCGUAAAACUCUGUUAUUAGGGAAGAACAAACGUGUAAGUAACUGUGCACGUCUUGACGGUACCUAAUCAGAAAGCCACGGCUAACUACGUG
RNAcentral lists this ribosomal RNA (497 nucleotides) under uncultured bacterium. RNAcentral's name for it is "partial 16S ribosomal RNA". It matches the Rfam family "Bacterial small subunit ribosomal RNA", at positions 28 to 507 of the family's 1533-position model. The record is from RNAcentral.